AGUGUUUCAGUUAUAUUCAACAUUUUACAUAUACAGUACAAACAAAUCCAUUUAAAAGAUGAAGCCAUGCAAACAAAGUAUUCAUAUUUACUGUAACAACGUAGCCUCCAAUUUUGCAGAGGGUUAAAUAACAAUUAAAAAUAGUAUAACCAUCAACCUCCAGAAAGCAUGUCUGUAUGAAUAAGUACAACAAAAUGCAUUUGAACUCUUGCCUUAGCGCCUUAUUGGAAAACUAAAUGUCGUCAAGCAAUACACUUUUUAAAAAAUAAAAAUGGACAUUUUGUCCCUAAAAUAAGUGAACAAAUCCACCAAUGGAUAGCAUGAUUUAACUUGAUACGAUUCUUAAAAUAACAUCUUGUAUUUUAAAAUUUAUUUUCGUCCUGCUUAAAAUUUAGAAGAAAAAAAAAAGUCAGAAUUAUAAAAAAAAGUACAGCAAGAUGUUUUCACUAGAAAUAAGAUAAAUUCACUUGGUAAGAUUUUGAGUUGUUUGUGAUGCGAAUCUAUUAAUAGGAGAGUUGGCUGAACGGGAGCAUGAGGUAAUUUUGCUUAUGUACAUGAAAUUAGUUGGCAGAAACCACGAAGGAUUCCUAAAAAGAAUCGCAGAGAAAGACGUUUCAUCACCUAAUUUUUGUGGCUAUUUAUCACAAUAUGCAAGUUUGUUGCCAAUUUAUGCCAAGCAAAGCUUGUGUACAACAGCGGCACUCAGGUUUUGCCUGAUCCUUCCACAAUUACAGACAAAUGGGACCCAAAUCCAUGCACACAAAACUCUUGUCCAGCCUGCAGCAUCCAGACUAGUUCUGUAAGUAUUUCUUCUAAAGGAUUUGUACCUGCAUAACAAUAAAUUCCUCAUGAAUUAAACAUGAAUGCAACUCAAACGAUAAGACAUAUUUACAGUUGAAGAGUAGCCAGGACAACUUUCAUCAUUGCUUUAUGUUCCUAGUAUGAAGAACAAUAGUUAAUAGUUUAGUAGUCUAGGUAUCUUUUAUUUAUUUUAUUGUUUCUUCUAUAUAAAAUAUAGUAUGUUUUAUAAUUAAAUGGGGAAAAUAUGAGAGAAAAUUGACAUUCAUUUCAUGCAAUUUCAAGUAAAAUUACCUAUAUUGGGAUACAGGAAGUCCUCGAGUUACGAUGUACUCGACCUACGACGUUUCGACAUUACGACGCCCGUGCCUCGUCUGCAAUUUUGUCCCCAGCACCAUAGUGUUUCUGCUUAGCUAGUGCAUAGUGCUUGUCUGUGUUUGUACGCCGGGAGUAUCUUUGCCUUUUUCGCCCUCUUUUUUUCACACUCUCAGCAGUAAUGGUAAGUACAGCAUCUUAUUUUUUUAUUUUAAUGUAUUUUAGUUUCUUUAUACGAAGUGUUAACCUUUCCUGCUACGGUCACCUGACCGUGGUCAGGAGACGCAGGGGAGACGCCUUCUCCAGGGCCGAAGUUGUCCUCCUCAGGGUUAACUCCCUUCUCUCGUUGCACAGCUGAGCUGGGUGGCGGGAACAAUAAAGGCACGAAGCACCGAUUUGCUGCUUUAAUGGCUUUAUUAGCUCCUCUGCACAUUGAACGUCAACGGGUCAUCCGCUAAUCGCUACUCUUCCCUGGUCGCCGUCACUACACUUGCCACUGUAAACACUCGCACCUGUGUGCACGCCUUCCUCCUUCACAGUCGCCGGACGACGCCUGCGCAAUCCCGUCUCACCCACACAUCGACGCACACGUCCACACACACUGAGCUUGCUGUCACAAUCAUGUGGGACAAUACCCGUAACAGAAGUAUUUCGACGUAAAUUUCGACUUUAACGGUGAAAUCCGACUUAUGCGGAAAUUCGGGUUACGUCGCCAGCGUAGGAACGGAACUCGUUCAUAAAUCGAGGACUUCCUGUAUACACUAAUAUUUUGCCCAUUUUGGAGAGCAGUAGGUGUACCUCAUGUUGUGACUGGUGAGUGUAUAUGAAUGAUUUCUAGAUAUGGUGAAAACAUUCCUGAAUGUAUUUUUAUGAACGUGUUGAACAAGAUCUAUCUUUAGUGGUCUUAUCUUUAGUAGUAAACACGGAGAAUCGGCCACAUCAAAGUUGUCCCAGCUCAAAGCGUCCAGUGCACACAUUUUGAUAGUCAGAGGAGGUUUUUUUUCCAUGCCAUUUUCUGUCCAGAGCAUCCACACCAGAGAGACUGCCAAGAUGAAAAGGAACUUUUACAACCAGCUUGUGUUGAGGACUUCGCAGCCCACACCUGUUCUGAGACAAACACACGUCUCUGCUGCGAACGUCAAAGAGUCGACUGACUGGGAAGGCUUAAACCAAAUGCACACUCCUGCAGAACAGGAGUCCGAGAAUCUGACACCUCGCAGCGCACAGGAGGAGAGAGGAGAUGGGAGGAGGUCGUGGAGAGAGAAUGGAAGCAAAAUGAGAGCGAUAGACGGCUGGAAGGAGGGAGUGAAGAGUGGAUCAAUAUGUCACCGAAAGAGCACCCCUGAUGAUCUCUCACGGUACCUUAGUGUGCCACGGCACCAUGUUUGAGAACCACAGUUUUUAGACGAGGAGAGGGAUGAUUGGCAGCUUCCAGACGCUGGAGGAGCACGUGACAGGUCUGGCUUGUGUUAUUUAUGAAGUCUCUCAGUCCCAGCCCCCACUCCGCAGCACAGAUGCAGGUGGGGUUUCAUUAUUGAAGAUGCUCUUCCAGUUUUUAUUAGAUCUCCCUCUCUCAGAGUGCAUUACGGAAUUGCAUUUGGAUGGAGAGUCGGCAUUGCAUGAGGGUCUGUCUUUGUAGCCCUGGAGUGCAUCUUAACGAUGUGUGUGCAACAUCAGCCAACAGCUUCUUCUUCUUUUUUUUAAUUUUUUUUAUUUUAUCAAUGCAGGCAGGCUUGUGUGUGUAUAUUUAUAUUCAAACAGCACACAAAACGACACAUCUUUUUCUUAUUGAGCUCCAUGUGUGGAUAGGAAGAUACAUGUUGAUGUAUUGAAAAACAAAACAAAACAAAAAAGAACAUUUUGACCAAAACAUUGAGGCCAUAAAACGCUUACAGUCCCACCCUAAGUGAUGCGCAAUUCCUCACUUGUGUCCUACUUCUUUCCACUUUUGUUUGAGAGCACUCGCUGCAGGCUGGCGGGGCAUUUGCAAGAUUCAUGAGCAUCUCCAGGCUGUGAGGACCAUGAUUCUCUGCAUCAAUCAACGGGUUCACUCCCAGCUGUUUAUUGAUUCUAUUUUACAGGCUCGAAGAGCAGUGUUGGGUUUAAUGUCAAAAAAAAAAAAAAAAAAAGGCUUCGUACACACUGUUAAAUAUUAGUGAGUAAAAAUAACAAUGCAAUAAAUUUUGGUACCAUGGCCGUGUCAGUCUUGAGUAUGACCCCGAAUAGCAAAUUGAUGAAUAACUGACGCUACCAUUAGGAGUGAUUAUAAUUGCCUGUAUUAAUAAGUUAAACCUUACAUAGUGUAUACCACACCCUUUAAUAGCAUUUCAAAUGCUUACAAACAUCUUCAAACAUCAGUGUACACUUAAACACACAGCACAGUAAAAAGCUUACAGCUAAGCACACACAUACACAAUGCGCAAUACCUGUCCGAACAUGGCAACAACUCCGAUGAUGAUGGCGGUGAUGAUGAUGCUAAAGAAUGAAGUGCUAACCGAGCACCUCAGUGUUGACAGACCCAAAAGUGCAAUAUCCACGCAGCGUGGUUAUGAUCAGCUGAGCCGUCGUGACGGACUCCACUGAUUUUGAUGCCGGAUUUAGUCCUAGUUUUUGCAGAACUCGCUAGCGCAGCAUAGACGUGGGCGCCGCCAUCUUAUCUAUCAGCUCCCGCUGUCUGUCACAAAUCAAACGCAGCUGCUGCUACAUCUGUAAUUGGGUG
This is a long non-coding RNA of Phyllopteryx taeniolatus (common seadragon), 3832 nucleotides long. RefSeq lists it as uncharacterized. Lineage: Eukaryota; Metazoa; Chordata; Actinopteri; Syngnathiformes; Syngnathidae. The transcript has 3 exons. The record is from RefSeq and is a predicted model, not a curated record.